Molecule: long non-coding RNA, 3173 nt
Filed under: Apis mellifera (honey bee)
Lineage: Eukaryota; Metazoa; Arthropoda; Insecta; Hymenoptera; Apidae
Description: uncharacterized LOC102655088, transcript variant X1
Source: RNAcentral
UAUACAUGAUGCUCGAAGCGGUUUUCUCUUCGACAAUUUUAGGUAAUAAGUUCAAUUGGAAAGUUAACAUCGAGAAAAUUUUAUUUUUGUAUUCGGUAUCUCUGUGGAGAAACGAGAAACUUGAGAAUCUUCCCUCGUGCUUUGUUAUCAAGGAAAUCUCGAUCCUCGCAAACAAUUACGCUAAUCGAAACGUUCCGUCUAUCUAUUGUCUUACUAGUCACAGUUGGUACUUUCAGUUGACAAAUGAGCCGCGAAUGUUUAAUUACAAACCGGUUUGCGACACGUACAACGCGCUAUUUGUAAGGAGGAUUCGUGGAGAGAGGAAAGAGUCCAAGAUGAGAUCCACUGAGGCUGUUAAAUUCAACUAGAUAGAACGGGUAGAAAAUUCGAGUCGUUCACGGUCGAAAACGCGUCGCACGACACUCGACACGCGCUCCAUUUUAUACGCUGGAGGAUAGCUAGGAACCGUAACCUUUUGUUUGUAACGAUUCUCGGCUCGAAGCCGCAAAAUUCUCUCGUCCUUUAAUUCGACGAGACGAGUGAUUUUCUCUGCGAGGAAAGGAAAGGAGAUUAAUCGGAGGACAGAAUCGUCGAAUAACAACAAUAAUAUAUGGCGGAUUAAAAACGGUGCUUGUCUCGACGGAAUGCGGGUAACGCGAGAUCGGGCCAGAUGGCGUUUCUGCACACGCUCGCAUCGUGUCGCAUAACACGAGCCAGCCAUCUUUGCCGCCCCGCCAUCUGGGAGGAUUCGGUUUUCUCUUUACAGAGACGUGUCCUUACGAGAGCAUUCCUCGUAGAUUCGUGUUCACGUUCGUGUUUGCACGUUGGAAUCUCGUUUUAGACCGGAGAUUUUCGCGAGAGAAAAUCUGGAGAAAAACGAUCCAUUGGGAUCGUUGACGAAAUUCAGAUAUUCGGUUAAUCCUGUUCUCGACAAUUUCUUUGUUUGAGUUAUUACGCGAAUAAUUUCCAGAUCGUGGAAAAACGCGAAUUGUCGAUGAAUCUUGUGUUAAAUCGAACGAGACAACUUGUAGCAGAGGGAACAUUGAAUUUCUAUUCGAAAGAAAGAGAAUUUUAAUGAAAACGAAUUUUAUGAUACGGAGUGAAAGUAUGAUUUUUUAUUUCAUAAGAAAGAAAAAGAAUACGUAAUUUGUGGGCAAGUGUUGAAUCGUAAAAGUAUUCUAAGCGUCACUCAAAAGUACAGAGGUCACGUAUAUAACUAUAAAAACGUAAAAUUUUCUGUUCGAAGAUAUUAAAGGUUACAAAGGAAUCUCACGCGAGUGAAAGUGUAAAAAUUUCGAUAUUAAUUAUCGAAUAAUCGAACAAAGAGAUAUUUUCGGCAUUCAUUUAAAGAUUACAAGGAUCGUGUAAAAGAUCCUUGGUUCCCCUCCCCUUCUUCCUUUCCAUUCGAAGGAAAAUAUUAAAAACGAAUCUCGCGACACGAUAGGGAACGAAAGUUUCACGAUUUCAUUUUCGGUCGAAAUUGAAAAUGUCGAAAUAGGUAGGAUUAUUAAACGAAUAUAAUUGAUCGAAAUCGACGGUGGAAAUAUUAUUCAAAGGUCAUCCUCGAGGUUCGAGCCCGCUUCGGCAAAAUUACUCGUUGAAUUAUUUAAUUCCGAGCAUCGUUUUCGCGGCGAAUACCUGUCGCUUCCCCUCCGAAUACCGUUGAAAACAAUUCGAGCCGGCGUAUCAGAGAUGUCCCGCCAUUUCAAAAAUGAACGAAUCAACGAUUGGUCGAGCAGCAGAUAGGUUAUGCGAUACAACCGUGAAAAUCGGCCGAUGGAAUUCCCUCGACGAAUUUAGAGCGAAAUUUCUCGAAUCACGUAUUUCCCUUGCAAUUACGCGCGUACACAGGCUGUGUCGCUUUGAAAUAUCUCCACGUGUAUAUCUCUUUUCGGUUCGUUAGCGUUGAUCAUUAUACUUGGCAAGCACGUUCGUUCCCCGGCUUAACGUUAUAAUUCGAUAACAAGGCAAGCAACAUUUGCUAAUAACGUUAAAGGGGGAGCCUUUAUACCCGUGGUCAUUCAGCCACGGGUUUCUGUAUCGAUAUUAGCGAGGAACCACGUCGGUUUAUCGUGUCAAUUUUCGAUCGUUUCCUUCCCGAGAAAUUCUACGCGACGUCUAUUAACCAGAAUAUUGGAGAGUGGCACCAUCUUUCGUGCCAUCGCGAAGAGUGUCGUGAACGCUGAACGCGCAAUUAAAGUCCGUUCGAUUCGCCCGUGCGGUACGAAAGUUUUAUUUUAUUAUUUAUUUAUAUUCAAUUAGCAGUGAUUGAAUUCAAUUAAUUCUCCGGUCAUUAAAAUAUCAACGAAUUAUAAAUCGCAUGACAGUAGUGUAAUCGUGCGACGACGAAACUAUCUAUCGCGCGAUUGGUAGUUCAUUUUUGUUAUUGGACAAGUUUAUUCCUCGUUAUUGCCAUUUUAUCGAAAAUAGAGGUGCACUUUGUUGUUCACUUUCGAAUCUUUAUUUUAGACGAAUUGUCCGAUAUUUGCAUUUAAAGUCCUGUGUCUACCUAAUCCAGAGAUAUAGGUUAUGUUAGGUUAGAUUAUCGCAAUAGCUCCGUUCAAUCAACGUUUCAGAUAGUAACACGUUAUCGAAUGAGCACAAACGUCGUGUAAACUCGAAACAACAUCGCUAUUACGCGAGUUUACGUACACGUCGAGGCGAAGCGUGGCCUGAUAUGAGCAAAAUGCACAGACCAUCGUGUGUUUGAACGAAUAAUCGAAAAACAGGGCUCUUUUCUGUUACUCUCGACAAGGACGCUGCCGUCACGCGACCGCAUUUGUUGCCAAUACCAGGUUAUUUUCCGUGCAUUUCCAGUUACAACGAGACAGUAGCAGAGAUUAACGGUCGACCGUUUCCUCGUAACGUCGAGAGAAUUCAGAAAGAAUCGUCCAUUAAUAUUUCGGCAAUGUGUUCCGUCGGCCAGAUCGAGCGAACUCUCUCAACGAAAAUACUCUCGUUUCCUCUCGAAUGCUCGCUUAACGCGAAUCUCGUUUCGCCGCGAAAAAGAAAGCAGAAGGCUCGAAAUUGGCGUCAUUAAGUCGGCCGGUGCGGAGCGUGCAUGCAAUUAACUCGAGUGUUCUCGUUAAAGAUGCUCAAAGAGUCCGGUUUCGAUUGUUACGUUAAUUGGAUCAAAAAAAAAAAAGAAAAGAAAUAAAAGAAAAUAAAAGAUC